RNAcentral lists this signal recognition particle RNA (298 nucleotides) under Saimiri boliviensis boliviensis (Bolivian squirrel monkey). Its description in RNAcentral is "Metazoan signal recognition particle RNA (ENSSBOG00000002753.1)". It matches the Rfam family "Metazoan signal recognition particle RNA". From Rfam's summary of the family: The signal recognition particle (SRP) is a universally conserved ribonucleoprotein. It is involved in the co-translational targeting of proteins to membranes. The eukaryotic SRP consists of a 300-nucleotide 7S RNA and six proteins: SRPs 72, 68, 54, 19, 14, and 9. Lineage: Eukaryota; Metazoa; Chordata; Mammalia; Primates; Cebidae. The record is from RNAcentral.
GCCGGGCGCGGUGGCGUGUGCCUGUAGUCCCAGCUACUCGGGAGGCUGAGGUGGGAGGAUCCUUUGAGCCCAGGAGUUCUGGGCUGUAGUGUGCUGUGCCAAUCAGGUGCUGCACUAAGUUUGGCAUCAAUAUGGUAACCUCUCAGGAGCAGAGGACUACCAGGUUGCCUAAGGAGGCGUGAACCAGCCCAGUUUGGAAAUGGAGCAGGUCAAAACUCCCAUGCUGAUCACUAGUAGGAUCUCGCCUGUGAAUAGCCACUGCACUCCAGCCUGAGCAACAUAUCGAGACCCUGUCUCU